GAUGAACGCUGGCGGCGUGCCUAAUACAUGCAAGUCGAGCGAACGGACGAGAAGCUUGCUUCUCUGAUGUUAGCGGCGGACGGGUGAGUAACACGUGGAUAACCUACCUAUAAGACUGGGAUAACUUCGGGAAACCGGAGCUAAUACCGGAUGAUAUUUUGAACCGCAUGGUUCAAAAGUGAAAGACGGUCUUGCUGUCACUUAUAGAUGGAUCCGCGCUGCAUUAGCUAGUUGGUAAGGUAACGGCUUACCAAGGCAACGAUGCAUAGCCGACCUGAGAGGGUGAUCGGCCACACUGGAACUGAGACACGGUCCAGACUCCUACGGGAGGCAGCAGUAGGGAAUCUUCCGCAAUGGGCGAAAGCCUGACGGAGCAACGCCGCGUGAGUGAUGAAGGUCUUCGGAUCGUAAAACUCUGUUAUUAGGGAAGAACAUAUGUGUAAGUAACUGUGCACAUCUUGGCGGUACCUAAUCAGAAAGCCACGGCUAACUACGU
This 496-nucleotide ribosomal RNA is filed under the name uncultured bacterium. RNAcentral describes it as "partial 16S ribosomal RNA". It matches the Rfam family "Bacterial small subunit ribosomal RNA", at positions 28 to 506 of the family's 1533-position model. The record is from RNAcentral.